GACGAACGCUGGCGGCGUGCUUAACACAUGCAAGUCGAACGGAAAGGCCCUGCUUUUGUGGUGUGCUCGAGUGGCGAACGGGUGAGUAACACGUGAGUAACCUGCCCUUGACUUUGGGUUAAAUUCAUGAAACUGGGGCUAAUACCGGAUAGGAGCUCCUGCUGUAUGGUGGGGGUUGGAAAGUUUCGGCGGUUGGAGAUGGACUCGCGGCUUAUCAGUUUGUUGGUGGGUUAGUGUAUUACCAAGGCUUUGACGGGUAGCCGGCCUGCGAGGGUAACCGGCCACAUUGGGACUGAGAUACGGCCCAGACUCCUACGGGAGGCAGCAGUGGGGAAUAUUGCACAAUGGGCGGAAGCCUGAUGCAGCAACGCCGCGUGCGGGAUGACGGCCUUCGGGUUGUAAACCGCUUUCGCCUGUGACGAAGCGUGAGUGACGGUAAUGGGUAAAGAAGCACCGGCUAACUACGUG
Molecule: ribosomal RNA, 468 nt
Filed under: uncultured bacterium
Lineage: Bacteria
Description: partial 16S ribosomal RNA
Rfam family: Bacterial small subunit ribosomal RNA
Source: RNAcentral